UAUUGUCAGUUCAAAUUGCCAUGAUACACGCGUAAGUCGUAUGUCAGCAACGAAUUCUUUGUGCGAGACCCUCGAUUGGCUUUAAAUAUUUCAUUACACUAAAGCCCUAAAGCGUUGGUGAGUGGUGAUGGUCCACUUGUCGAAUAAUAGCCUUCAGUGGCUAAAAGAUGGCAGAUUCUGGUGGUGCCGAAUUGAAUGAGGAUGAAUUCCUGUGUUGCAGUAUUUGCUUCCAUAAAUAUGAUCUCCAGCUCAUGCGACCUAAAGUGCUGCCUUGCUCACACACAUUUUGUUUCACCUGUCUCAAGGCUCUCCAUUCAGGAAACAUUUUGAAAUGCCCCGUGUGUCGACGCAAUGCCGUCGAAAUCACAGACGUUAUGACCUUACCGAACAACAAAUACGUUCAGUACAUCGUACAUCUCAGUGAAAAGUUACGGGAUGCUCAAGCCCAGAUAAAACGUAAUAAUGUCAUUGAAAUUUCAUCAAAACCAGCCCCCAAAAUUUUGCGCGUUAUAGACUGGGGACGAUUGGUCAGUGGAUGCACAAGUUUCAGUAGGAUUAUGCUCCUACAAAAUCCCGACUUAUUGUAUUCGUUAAAGAAAUCGAUGGAGAUCUACUUCUUCUUAAAAAAGCUUUCCCAAAGUUCAAGUUCAUAACAUCCGAAGAGCUAAGAGUUUUAGUAAUUCUUAACGAAACUGUCUCUUAAUGACUCCUACUUCCACUUAACCUUAAGUCUUCCUAAAGAUGCAGGUAGUCUUCGCAAAGAUUUCAUUCUCGAAGUGAAUGCGCACUUUGGUCCA
Daphnia pulicaria is the source of this 797-nucleotide long non-coding RNA. RefSeq lists it as uncharacterized. The transcript is spliced from 6 exons. NCBI's taxonomy places the organism in Eukaryota, Metazoa, Arthropoda, Branchiopoda, Diplostraca, Daphniidae. The record is from RefSeq and is a predicted model, not a curated record.